AUCUGCAGAGAUCAAAGUUUAUAAUGCCACUCCGUAAAGAUAUCAAAGAUCAAAUACAUCUCCUUUUGCUUUCAUUCCUAUAAAGGAGUAAUUUCAUCAUCAGUUUCAGUUUAUCAGAUUAUCUACAUGUUCUGUGUGAUCCGCAAGAUCAGUCUGAUUCUUUUGUGGAUUGCUCAAUGAUUGACAUUGAUAUUCAUGGCAUUACAAGAAAGUGCAGGGCACACGCACCUUAACGAUCAACGUGGUGGCGCCGAACAUAUUAGGAGUAUCUAUGCCAUUGAGAUAGGCUUUGAUUUCUGGUAUGCCAGGCCCAGCGGCGGUGGGAGCAAAGCAUACACAGAGAACAGCAGCAACAAAAGUGAGAAGGAAAUUUGCAGUGGUAAAAGGAAGAAAACCAGGUGUGUAAUCGGCAUGAAUGAACAUACCUUUCUUCUUUGAUGUAACCGACCACUUUCAAAAGCUUGUAGCCAGCAAUAUUUUCAAUGGCGAGAUUGAUGAGAGUGGCAAUGAUCCCUGUAAGAAGUCCAACAAGACAAGCCAAUGUCCAUUUGGAGAAUAUGUACUGCAACACUUGAACUUUGGAUCUGCUUCUCCAAUCGUGCUUAAACAGAUCGUUCUCAUUGAUCCUGAAUUCAAACCAAACCAAAUAACCAAAAAUUGAAGGAACUCAAGGAGAAAUCAAAGCUUUCAAUGCUAUGGUCUUACUCGUAAUCCAAGCUUUCAAUCAGAGAAACCUUGGCCCCAACAAUGGCAAGAGGACUAGAAGAGAGAGUUCUGCUUCUCUUGAGAAGGGGUUCGUUCAAGGGAUUGCUUUCUGGGUCUCUUUCUUCUUGUUGAGGCUCUGCUUCCAUGGCGUCUGUGAGAGUUGAUUCCGCGACAAGGCUGGAAUUUUCCUCCAUUGGAGCAGUGAAAAGAACACAAAAAUGGGGUAGAUGAGGGUUAUGAACAGAAGAUGAAGUUUAGGGAUUGGAAGAAAGUGCAAAGCUUCCCCUGUGUUGUAGGAUUUUAAUGCAACAAAGUUAUCGCAA
This is a long non-coding RNA of Cucurbita maxima (winter squash), 1028 nucleotides long. RefSeq lists it as uncharacterized. The record is from RefSeq and is a predicted model, not a curated record. NCBI's taxonomy places the organism in Eukaryota, Viridiplantae, Streptophyta, Magnoliopsida, Cucurbitales, Cucurbitaceae. The transcript has 2 exons.